Molecule: unclassified non-coding RNA, 255 nt
Filed under: plant metagenome
Description: partial contains small subunit ribosomal RNA, internal transcribed spacer 1, and 5.8S ribosomal RNA
Rfam family: Eukaryotic small subunit ribosomal RNA (bases 1-54)
Source: RNAcentral
GGAAAUAAAAGUCGUAACAAGGUUUCCGUAGGUGAACCUGCGGAAGGAUCAUUACUGAGUGAGGGCCCUCUGGGUCCAACCUCCCACCCGUGUUUAUUAUACCUUGUUGCUUCGGUGAGCCCGCCUCACGGCCGCCGGGGGGCAUCUGCCCCCGGGCCCGCGCCCACCGAAGACACCUAGAACUCUGUAUGAAGAUUGCAGUCUGAGCAAAAACUAAAUAAGUCAAAACUUUCAACAACGGAUCUCUUGGUUCCG